UACGUAGGGCGCAAGCGUUGUCCGGAAUUAUUGGGCGUAAAGAGCUCGUAGGUGGCUUGUCGCGUCUGCCGUGAAAGCCCAUGGCUUAACUGUGGGUCUGCGGUGGAUACGGGCAGGCUGGAGGCUGGUAGGGGCAAGCGGAAUUCCUGGUGUAGCGGUGAAAUGCGCAGAUAUCAGGAGGAACACCGGUGGCGAAGGCGGCUUGCUGGGCCAGUUCUGACGCUGAGGUGCGAAAGCGUGGGGAGCAAACAGG
This 253-nucleotide ribosomal RNA is filed under the name uncultured bacterium. Its description in RNAcentral is "partial 16S ribosomal RNA". It matches the Rfam family "Bacterial small subunit ribosomal RNA", at positions 524 to 776 of the family's 1533-position model. The record is from RNAcentral.